UGCUGAGGACCAGCAGAUACUAGAUACAAGAAGGUCAGUAGGAACAUAUUUCCACAUCCUCAAGGAUUUUGACGAAGACGGUGGCAGGAGUUCAUUUGCUGCACCUGUUACCAAAAGUUGUGAAGGCAAGGAAGAGCCUGGAAUUGUCUGCACAUCAUGCCCAUUGGCACUUCAGGAAUGAUCGCUGAUGCCAGCCCCACUCUGGCAACCCUGCUUCUGACAGCCUCAUCAUGACUCACACACAAUGAGCACAGAGCAUGAAGACACUGAGAUGAGGGCCUGAAAACCUCCACAGAAAUCAGGGGUAAACAAAGGGGGCUGUUGAGGUGGGAGUAGAGAAAUUAUUUUCCUUUCUGUUUUAUAACAAGUGAUAGGCUUGCAUUUGCUGAUUUAAGAAUAUUUACAAAGCAUAUACAUUAUACUUGUUAGUUUUGCUUCUGGAUUUGAAUCAGGAGCUAUCUUCAUCACACAUAAUUUUUUUAAAGCACUGACUUUUUCUAAAAAGUAUGAUGCUUGGGGCUUGUGUAAAGGAUGCUUAGAAUUUGUAUAAAACACUUGGUUCCUACUGUUUUGUAACUCUCCAUCUGCUCUUCUCAGUAAGAAAAAAAAAACACAGGGCAGACAAGCAUUGCUUACUGAAACUGCUAUGGAUGUAGUCAUACUUUAUUUUAUUUCACUGCUCAACAUACAUUUUUCUUUUUAAGACAGCAUCAUUACUGCUGUAAUCAGAGGUCUGAUGUUUUCUAGUCAAGGACAAAUUAGACCAAUCAGUUGCCCUGCUUUUGAAUAUGAAUCUUGAGUAGAAGAGUAGGCAGUAUCUUAAUGGUUAGCUUUCCACCCUCCUGCUAGUGGAGUCCUCAGCAGCCUUUGCCAUCUGGGAGACAACUGUGGGAGCUCCUGCCUCUGAGCUUUGGGAGCUGACUUGCUUUCUGUGUGUAUUCUGAAGCCUUGUUCUUCAUCCUUUGAUACAUUUUGAGCCCUUCUUCACUCCCUGAUUUCCUUCCAAUGAAUUUUAC
This 1016-nucleotide long non-coding RNA is filed under the name Papio anubis (olive baboon). RNAcentral describes it as "lncRNA (ENSPANG00000049992.1)". The record is from RNAcentral. Lineage: Eukaryota; Metazoa; Chordata; Mammalia; Primates; Cercopithecidae.